Molecule: long non-coding RNA, 1120 nt
Filed under: Setaria italica (foxtail millet)
Lineage: Eukaryota; Viridiplantae; Streptophyta; Magnoliopsida; Poales; Poaceae
Description: long non-coding RNA (SITA_LNC000428)
Source: RNAcentral
UCCAUCUACUGUGUCUCGCCUGUUUCCCAAAAUCCCAAAUUGGACGGGAAACAGGAUUCUCAUGCUGUUGUUUGUGUCUGUUCUAACAGUCGGUAAAUUAACCAGAUAUAGCCUUUAUGCACAGCACCGUGGUACAAAAAGUGAUAGUUAUACUGUUCCUGUAUUUUGACUAACAAUUUUGGUUUAGAAAACAUGCAUUUAUGAGCCGGAGGACUCGUUGGUUAACUAAUAUCUACAUUGUUGUCGAUCGCUGAUAAGUCACCAUCAUGAGCAGUUUUUUUUUUUUGAAAAAAAUCAGGCAGGAGAGUUACCGAUUAUAUUAAAAAGAAUAUAAAAGGUCCAGACUGGGCAAUACAAUGAGCAGGUCUGAUAAAUGAUGAUAUUCAAAAGGUUUAUCUGGUACCAUUAGAGCCUAUUCAGAAGAACCAAGUGCUUGCUCAUAUAAAACUAACCAUCCCAAUACACGUGGAUUUGAAGUGGAAGACGAACUAAUUUCAUUGUCAACCCUCCUCCCUCCUAAUAAUAUAUGGAUGGGAGAGGAGUGUUCCCAAUCCACACGAGGCAGGACGUGGUUUCGGAUUAAGCCCAGGCGCCUAACUGACGACGAAUGGGGAAGGUAGCUUUGUGCUCACCGCGUCUGCCGACAUCUGAAGUGGCUAUUUUUGCUCCCAACAAGAUGGCUGCAGAAGGUGCAGGUCACCGCGACACCGCGUGGCGCUGCCGGCAGGCGCCGCGGUUCAUCCCCCCCACCGCUCGCGCCGGCCGCCGCCCAGUUCAAUGCUAGGAACAUGAGAACGCCAUGUGACGAAAUGAGGGCCACUUGACCGUUUCGGCUCGCCUUACCGAAACGCAGCUUGCAGCAACAGCGAUCGCCAACUUGUGGCUGACUUGGAGCCAUACGAUGUCCUGAGUAGCGUUGCACUCUGAACUUUGCUGCUGCUGCUGCUGAAAGAUGCUGCCUACAUACUAACCGCAACCAUCUAAAUGGAUAAAUGUUUCUGAAGCCCAGAAAAUGCCGAACGGUUGAGCUAGAUUAGGUUACAUAAGAAUGGCGUUAACUGACAGGUAGGAAAAGUGGUUUUGUUUUAUGCUGACGACAGGCGACAUCUGAACAAGCUUG